CCUACGGGGGGCAGCAGUGGGGAAUAUUGGACAAUGGGCGAAAGCCUGAUCCAGCCAUGCCGCGUGUGUGAAGAAGGCCUUCGGGUUGUAAAGCACUUUCAGUGGGGAAGAAAGCCUUGGGGCUAAUACCCUCGAGGAAGGACAUCACCCACAGAAGAAGCACCGGCUAACUCCGUGCACAGCAGCCGCGGUAAUACGGAGGGUGCGAGCGUUAAUCGGAAUUACUGGGCGUAAAGCGCGCGUAGGCGGUCUGAUAAGCCGGUUGUGAAAGCCCCGGGCUCAACCUGGGAACGGCAUCCGGAACUGUCAGGCUAGCGUGCAGGAGAGGAAGGUAGAAUUCCCGGGGUAGCGGUGAAAUGCGUAGAGAUCGGGAGGAAUACCAGUGGCGAAGGCGGCCUUCUGGACUGACACUGACGCUGAGGUGCGAAAGCGUGGGUAGCAAACAGGAUUAGAUACCCCAGUAGUC
Molecule: ribosomal RNA, 466 nt
Filed under: Vreelandella stevensii
Lineage: Bacteria; Pseudomonadati; Pseudomonadota; Gammaproteobacteria; Oceanospirillales; Halomonadaceae
Description: partial 16S ribosomal RNA
Rfam family: Bacterial small subunit ribosomal RNA
Source: RNAcentral